This 18618-nucleotide long non-coding RNA is filed under the name Eucalyptus grandis. RNAcentral's name for it is "long non-coding RNA (EGRA_LNC003680)". The record is from RNAcentral. Lineage: Eukaryota; Viridiplantae; Streptophyta; Magnoliopsida; Myrtales; Myrtaceae.
UUGUGGUCCCUGGCAUCUAUUUCUCCAAUGAUAAGCUUCUCCAAGCUCGGAUUUUCGCCUAUUCCGAUACUCACCGAUAUCGCCUUGGACCAAACUACCUUCAACUCCCCGUUAAUGCUCCCAAGUGCGCUCAUCACAACAACCACCAUGAUGGUUUCAUGAAUUUCAUGCACAGGGAUGAAGAGGUAAUAAUCUUUAUUUUUCUGUUUGCUCAAUAACGGCGCUGAGAAUGAACGUGCCUCUAGCAUGACCUAAUAACAUGUUUUUAGCUGGUUGUACAGAGAUCUGAAUUAGCUAUAGUAGUCUAUUGAUGCAACGCUCAACUCAACUCAGUUUGUUUUUUGAAAAAAAGGAAGAACUAACGAUGUCAUUCAUCCAUGAUGCUGAUUCGCAGAUAAAUUAUUUUCCUUCGAAAUUUGAUCCCGUUCGCCAUGCAGAAAGGUACCCGAUACCGUCUCAAAUCGUGACUGGAAAGCGAGAAAGGGUAAGUUUAUGGAGUCUAUGCAUUUAUAUCAAAAACGACUCUUACAACAUGUUCGUGCCUCCAGGAUACCAAGUAAAAGAACGGGAAUUGUAUGCAUGGUAUUAUUAAAUCUAUUUUGUGUCGAUGAUUGAGGGGCGGGCUUGGUAAGGGCUAAAGCAGUUCAGACUCAGCAGAGAAUGCCAGAAGAAAUAAUUACACGCUUGCGAUAAAGGCCCGCCCGCAUAACAAUGGUUAUCUGUAGCAAGUCGAAAGAGGCAUUGCAGCAGUGGUGCUUCUGUUUGGACCUUAGAUAAAAUUGAUGUAAUUCAAUUUCUGGUGUGCCGUUGCGAUGGUUAUGGUGCUAUGAUCGUUGGCUUUUACAGACUAAGCUAAGAACUUACAAAUGAGGAAGGGAAUAAGUUAAAACUACAGAAGAGAAGUCAAUGUUUUCGUGGCUUGAAAAUGUAGCUCUCGGGGUUCGCCUUUGUUAAAUUAUUGAUCCAAUUUUCUAGAAACUUCAAGAUAAAUAUGAGCUAGAAAAUUCAAGAAAAACUCUAGAAGACUCUAUAGAAUUAUCUCUGAGAAUGGUAGAGAUAUUUGCCUUAAAAAAGCCUAUUUUUCUAGAAAAAAAAUUGUAAAAGAAACUCCUAGAAGAUGGGCUAGGUCGGUGGAGUGUCCCUAUAAAUAGGGAAGGAGGGGGGAGCGUAAAAAGGCAGAGCAAAAGGUAAGCUCCUUCCCUUCCUUUGUACUUUGUACUACAACUAAAUAAAAAAAAAGCUUUCUUUUGUUGUUCCCUUGUGUUCCCUUGCUGCAAAUUAUUUUCUUACCCAUAUUGUUCUUUCCUUAGCCCUCUUGAAAGUUCACACACAAAACACACUUUCACACACAUCAAACACACGCUUCCGCAGAUACCAACAGCCUUGGAUUAGAUAUCUGUGCUGCUAGUAUUCAUCUGUACGUGAACUUACUGGUUAUGCAGGUCAUUAUUGAGAAGGAGAACAACUUCAAGCAGGCAGGAGAGAGAUACCGAUCCUGGGCGCCGGACAGGUACCUUUUGACCACUGUCUCCUGAGCCGAUGUGCAAUUUACUUGGUCACUCAAUUGUCUUUCGACUUUGUCGCCAGGCAAGAGCGUUUCAUUAACCGCUGGAUCAAGGCAUUGUCUGAACCCCGCGUCACCCACGAGCAUCGCUCCAUCUGGAUCUCUUACUGGACUCAGGUGAGCUAUCACUAUUCGCCCGGUUUGCUUCCUUUCAUGGUACCGAAAUUUGUUUAUACUGAUGGACCAUGACGCAUCUUCACCGCAGGCUGACAAAUCGAUCGGCCAGAAGCUUGCUUCCAGCCUCAGCGCGCGACCGAGCAUGUGAAUGCCAAGACGGGGCGAUUCCGGCAUAAGUGGCACCUGGAUGCGGGAGCCGGAAGAAGCAUGAAAGCUAAGUGCCGGCAUAUCUGUUAGCUGUUGCUAUACUGUAAUACUAAGAGGGAUCUCAGAGUCGUUCUCUUUACCAAAGAUAUGUAAUUAUGCGCUAGUCGUGCAUUUAUAGAUAGCACUUGCACUUCAAAGGGGGCAUUUGUUUCUUUUCUCGUUCUAACUUUUGUCGACCUUCCUUUGUUGCUUUAUCCGUGCGAUCAAUUCAGGGUUUUUGGUCAUUUUAGAAUUGAUUUUAACUAUUUUUAUGCGUUAUUGAUGAAAAAAGGCGACUCGAUUUUUUAUCAUCCCUGACUAUAAUAAAAUCUCAUGAUUUGCAGCGAUAACUUGGUAUAUCUACUAUAUGACCAUUAACUAAAAUAUGUCUCUGGUUAAAUAUUUGGCGGGCUUGAGGAAUAGUUGAAGCCAUACCCGAUCGGAAAAAGAAGAUUUAUGUCUUGUAAGUAGACCUCUCAUUAGAAGUCAUAAAUCCAUUUCUUAACCCAUAUUUCAUGGGUUGUUAUAUGGGUUAGAUAUAUUUAAUAAAUGGAUCAUAAAAGAGUUUGGAAUGGUAAAACCUAAAACUAUAUGGGUGUUAGAUAGGUUCUUGACUGACUUAGACCCAACUCAUCUUUAUAACCCUCUCAUGCCCUCACUCUUGCUCUAUGCUCUCACCUCAGUUUGGUUAUGAGUUUUCCUAAAUUAGGUUAGGUAUUGAAGUAUUUUGGCGAUAUGGAUCGGGUCGUUGAAAUUAUAUCACAUGGAAAUUGGUCAAUUUGGGUUGGGUCAUUCUCGACUUGACCCAUCUGGCCGACAAAUAUUUUGACCGACUGCACAGUUAACUCUAGACAUUUUAUUUUGUUUUCUUAGGUCUGCAGUUUAUGUGCUAGUGUCUUGACUGCAUCGAUUGUUCAUUUUAUGUUUGUGUUUUGGUGAAGUCAAGAUGUUGGCUGAAUUGCUGUGUACUACUCCGAUGAAUCUAGGUUUUUGACACUUCUAUUUAAAGUACAACUCUGUAAAAUCUCUCUUUUGAGUUCUCCAGCAGCGUAUAACAGAAAGGAAACAGACUAUUUGAUCAUUUCCAUUUCUUGGGCAAUAAGCAGUUUGGAGAAAAUGAUCUUUUUCCUUUCCAGUGUGGUUCUUCGGCUGAACUUUAGUUUUUUUUUUAUUGUUUUUAUUGUUUUUAUUGUUACCAUUGAGAAACACUAUAGGCAUUCUUAGAAAAGCGUCAUCUUUCUCUAUUCAACAUAACAAACUUCUGCUUUUAAUGGUUAUGACAUGGGAAAUUGCUAGGCCAAGCAUUUUUUGUUGGAAAAUAAUCCAAAAAGAAAACACAAACUGUUUGUUGCAAUCAGAACAUGAAAGUAAAGAAGAUGAUAACAACUUUAUAAUUUCAUUUCCUUUACAAAUCUUGGAGAAGAAGAAAAUAAGAUAUAACAUAAAAUUGGAGGUGAGGUACGGAUAACCGAAUCUCCUUAAGGCGAUUAGUUCCUGCCAAAUGUGCCAUGCAGAUUCACAAACUAUGCCUUCCAAGAUACAACACCUCGAACCUGUUUGGAUUAGCAUUAUGCAAAUAGGACUCUGUCGAACCGUUCAAUUGAAUCGGCACACUCAAGAAACAUAAGAGUAGAAAAGUAUAUUAAAGUCUUUUUGGAAUGGAUUCAAAAAAACCAAAACCAAAAACCAAAAAACCCUUUAUGAAGCUCUAUGCUCAUAUCUAUUUAUAGAGCUUUUUAGUUCAUGUACUAAAGAGAUACAUGAAUUAAAUAGACGCGUGUAUCCACGAGAUUCAUGAAUAAAGAGAUACGUGAAUCUAAGAGAUUCAUGUAUCCAAAGAUACGUGAAUUCAAGAGAUUCAUGAACUCAAUAAAUACAUGAACUAAACGAUACAUGAAUCUAGGAAAUUCAUGAAUUCAAUAGAUACGUGAACAUAAAAGUAUAGGAAAUUCAUGAAUCCAAAAGGAGAUACGUGAACAGAAAAAAAAAAACGUAUCUUAAUUUAUUGGCUUCCGUUGAUCCAUUAACCAUAAUUCUAACCAUAAUUACAACAUUUUUUGCAUUCUUGCUGAUAUCAAACUCUGCUUUUUCAACUUUGAUUGCCCCCAAAAUAAAUAAAUAAAUAAACCCCGAUCCAAAUGCAAAAGUGUCAUGGCACAAGAGUGGCGUACAAGAUUUUGUUAUAGCUAACAUGUCUAUGGUCCACACAAACCUCUUGAGGCCUAGAUUGCUCGAGCUGACAAUGCAUAGAAAAAUAUGCUAGAAAAUGCAAUAGUUUUUAUUUGACAAUCCAGAGGUACAAUCAUGAACACUCAACUACCUAUCCUGCAAGUGAAUUGUUUGUAAUCAAUGAUAAGAGAAAGUGUGCAAAUGUGAUAGUAGUACGUGAGUCUUGGUAGAGUGAUCUAUUGGAAAUGUUGUACUUGUUAAUUUUAAUUUUUUUUGAAGAUUAUUAGUGGAUUCAAACCUUACUAUGGCGGUUAGUGUUGAAAGUGAAUGUAGUUUUUAGGAUAAAACCAAACCACUAUAUAUCUUGUUGCAAUAUGUUCAAUUUCCUCAUUAUUAGCUUUAUUAUUUUAUUAUCUUUAUCAUCCGUUCAUCAUCAGCACAUACGCCUAGGGCUGAGCGCGGUUCCCGAGUUACCCGGGAACCGGAACCGAACCGGAGGAGGGUCCGGUUCGGUUCCCGGUUCCAAGGGGGACCGGUUCCGGUUCCGGUUCCUUUUUUCUGGGAACCAGAACCAGAACUGGAACCGGUCCCGGAACCGGAACAGGAACCGGUCUCGGAACCGGAACCGGUUACUUAGGGCAGAAAAAGCUCGACCUUGGAUGUUCUAGUGACUUGUAUGUGAUGUUCUAGUUGAAGUUUGGCUUCGGCCUCUAAAUGAAAGUUGUAAAGGAUUUCUUGGAGUAUAACAUACUCAAAUUUGGGACAAAACAACAAGUAUAAGUGGGUGAAAUCAUUAUUCUUUGGAAAGACUGGAUCUGGAGAUUUUGGGACUAACCCUUGAUGAAUGCAUGGACUGUAAGGCAAUAUUUUUGUCGAAAUUUCACUUCGUUUUCUUAACAAAAGUUGUAAAUCACAUCCUGAGGUACAACAUAUAAAAAAUUUAGAGAAAAAAAAUAAGAAUAGGUAGGUGAAAUCGUGGUCCUUUGGAGAUGGUUAGAUCUGGAAUUACGAUACUACGAACAGGGAUUUUAACCGUCCAUAUUUAAUUAUCUAGGACGAAUUUGACUUCGAUGUUUUCAUGAAGUACCUACCUUAUGGUCUUGGCUAUCACAUAGUCGAAUUUCAUAAUUUGUUAAGGUCAUUUGGGUAUUUAAUCGGAAAUGUUUCUAAAACUGUGCAAUCUGAUGUGUUCGGAUCUUGUAAGUUGCAAUGCAUGGACUAUAUCAUUUUGUAUGAGGUUCUUUUGGAAAUGUGUUCUGCAUGAAAUAUCUCUCUUCAUUUCUUCCCUACAACAUAUUUAAAUUUCGUAAUUUUUGUAGUUCAUUUGCCUAUUUAACCAAAAAUGUUUCAAAAACUGUGCAAGUAGAGAAUAGGAAAAGUAAAUCGAUUUUAUCUUUUAAUCCAGAACGAAUUGGACUACAAUUUCUUCAUGAAACUUGUGCCUCUAGGUCUUAAAUACAACGUGUCCAAAUUUCAGAAUUUUCUGAGUUCAUUUAAGGGUUUAAUCAAAAUUGUUUUCAAAACUUGUACCUCUAGACAUUCUUGUUCUAGUGGUGUUUUAUUUCUACUUUCUAGUUUGCUAUUUGUUUUGAAAUUUCUAAUUAUAUUAUAUUAUCGUUGUGCAGUGCGAAGUUAAUGUAUCAAGAUAACAUGUCAAUGGAAAGUUACCGUGUAGUAUACGCAUACAUUAUAGUUUUUUUUUUUUGUAACGUGCGCAUACGUUAUAUUUUUUUUGGUAACGUGCGCAUAUGUUAUAGUUUUUUUUUAUAACGUACGCGUACGUUAUAGUUUUUUUUGGUAACGUGCGCGUACGUUAUAUUUUUUUUGGUAAUGUGCGCAUAUGUUAUAGUUUUUUUUUUUGUAACGUGCGCGUACGUUAUAGUUUUUUUUGGUAACGUGCGCGUAUGUUAUAGUUCAAAUCUGAAAAUAACAAAAAAAAAAAAAAAGUUGUUGGAACUUGGAACCGACCCUGGAACCUGUGACAAAGUAGGUUCCAGGUUCUUGGUUCUCACGGGUAGGUUCCAGGUUCCUCAUUUUGAGGAACCUGUACCCGAUGGUAGGUUCCAAGUUCCAGACGGAACCGAACCGGAACCUGGAACCGCUCACCCCUAGCCCGAUAUUUAUAAUAUAUUUCUACUGCUAUUUGAAGUUAAACUUGUCAUCUUCCACAAAAGCUUCAUAAUUCCCACACAAUCUAUUCACCCCAUCUAAGUUGGGUUGUUAGCUCCAACAUGUGUAAGAUUUAAUAAAGAAUGUCAAAAUUUAAAUUUGAAUUUAAAUACAAAAGACUUUUCAAAUAAAAAUUAUUGUUUUAUUGGUUGAAAAGGGAGAACAAAAGAGUUGGCAUGUUUGGUUUCCCAUCCAUAUGUCCUACUCUUUAGUUUUAUAUAAGGACAUGAAAUUUUGAGAUGCAAAAUUAUAUCUAAAAGAAAAUUAGUGUUAUUUGUGUAAAUAAAAAAAAUCAUUUUUCAACAAAUCAUUGUUUUUCCACUUUUUUUUCUUCUCUUCAUUUACCUCUCCCUCUCUCUCUCCUCCUCCACUCCCUCUCCCUUUUUGACUUCUCCGCUCCUCUCUCUCUCUCUCUCUCAUUACAUUUCAUCUUAUUAUUUCAUUUUCAAAUCUUUAUCUAAUCCUCCACCGACUCUUCUUUUUAAUUUCUAUCAUCCCUCUCAUCUUCUCUCACCCUCCCUCCCUCCCCUCUCAAUUAUUGCAUUUCUUGUGUUCUUUCUCUUUCUCGCUCUCUCUCUCUCCUCUCAAUUAUUACAAAUCCAGGAGCCAAGUUGCUCAUGAACAUUAUUGAUACUAAUCACCUCGAAGAGAAAAUUUCCAAUAAUAAAGUCAGAAAUAUCCAAAAAAUUAGCUUUGAUGAUUCCUCGAGGAAAGAUACCAACUCUUUGGUAAUGUUCUAUCAAUUCAUAGGCAAGAAGUACAUUUCUUGUGUUCUUUCUCUUUCUCUGUCUCUCCUCUCAAUUAUUACAAGCCAAGAACCAAGUUGCUCAUGGACAUUAACGACACUUAUCAACUCGAAGAGAAAAAUUUUCCUUGAUGGAAUCAGAAAUAUCCAAAAAAUCAGCUCUGAUCAUUCCUCUAGGAGAAAUACCAGCCCUCUGGUGUUUCUAUCAAUUCAUAGGCAAGACGUACAUUUCUUGCCUUCUUUCUCUUUCUCUCUCUUCUCUCAAUUAUUACAAGUCCGGGAGCCGAGUUGACAUCAAUGAUACGUGUCAGCUGAAAGAGAAAAUUUUCUCUAUUAAGGUCAGAAAUAUCCAAAAUAUCAUUCCUCUAGAAGAAAUACCAGCCCUUUGGCAAUUUUCUAUCAAAUCAGAGGCAAGAAGUGCAUUGUCAAGAGAAUCUUUCUUUGCUAGAACGACAUCAUACGUGGACUUAAUGUACUUGACAAAAUCUACACAGAUAAAAGAUAUUAAAGUAAGAAACUUCGAAUGUGACCAAAAUAAUGAAUUCACGUGAAAUUGACUUUGUGAAACUAAAAGACUUCUAGUCUUGACCUUAAAUUAACUUAUUGGAGCUCUCAUGACUGAAAUUGAAUCCAACAACUAGUCAAGUAAAAAAUCCAUUGCAUAGAAAGUUGACUAUUUCCAUGUAGAUUUCGAAGGAUUAUCCUCCAACAACGAUGACAGUGAGGAUGUGCUCCGUCGGUCCAAGAAUGACUCGCAAAGAAAAAGAACUCAAAAGGCUUGGGCACACGAAACCUAAUUAAAACAGCAUGAUAUUUUGCAAAAAGAGGAACUUGAGUGUCUAAGGAAAGAACUUACUUCGGUUAAAAAGAACAAAAUCUUCUUCAAACACUAAGUGUUUUCCUUAACGAAGAAAUUUCAAAGAAUUGUGAAUUUCUCUUUCUUUUAGAUGAAAGACUUUGACUUGUUGUGCUUAAUAUUUUAUAUCUUCAUUUUGUGCUUCGUUUCAUUCGGAGUUUAUUUAUCUUGAUGUGGCAAGUUUUAUAACUUUACAUAGUUGGUCAUGCGAGGAAUAUCAUUUAAGUUACAUUUGAUGGUUCGGAUUUCUGACCUAGAUAUGGAGAUUUUGCUAUAUCAUAUUCAGUGUUUGGUGUUUACAGCAAUAAAGUCGAAUAUAUUCAUAUCAUAUUAUAUGUAGUUGGGUAUAAAUGACAUAUCAAUAUAAAUGACCCAUAAAUUUUAUAAACAGAUAUAAUAAAAAUCUCUAACGACAAUUUUGUCUACUUUAAUUUUAUUUUCUUUCUUCCCCUUCCAUCAUUCUCUAUUAAAAUUUUAUUGAAUAGAAAACUACACUAAUAUACCUAAAAUACUAAAACACCUAAAAUAUGUAAUAAAUAUAUAUUUAUAUAUUGAAUUUAUAUUACAAGAUAGAAGUAAAUUUGAAUAUAUAAAUAAAAAUAAGAUUAAAUUGAAAACCAAAUUGUUAUUUUUUGUUAUUUUUAAUUUCUUAUAUUAGGAUUCAUAUAUUAUUUAUAAUGAAAUAUAAUUUUAAAUUUGUUAGUCUAAGAAAGUUGUUAUUUGAGAAACAUAACUUUCCUAUUAUGGAUAUUAGAAAUCCUAUCCACAUUUAUCUCACGUCCCUCAUGGAAUAAUUUUAUCCGGUCUAUAUCCCUCUUGUAUCCGAUUAUAUCCUAUCUUGAGUAGGUACCAAACGCAAGUUAAGAUAUAUAAAAAAAAAAAAAAAUUCAUAACUUGUAUUUUAUCCUAACCUCCAAACGCUACCUUAAGGAAUAGGAGUCUAAUGCAAUUCGAUGGAUUCUAAGAUGGGAUGAAUAGAAUAAGAAAGAUUGGUUGAUAUCUUGCUUUGGAAAGAAACAAUAAAUAUUAUGGGACAGCAACUCAAAGAUUUUAUACUCUCUAAUAUGUCAGGUGCUGCAAAGUGAAAAUAUUUUUUAAAGAAAAUAUUGUUGAAUUAUGCAUAUCAUUAGCAUGACAAACUUUUUAAAUACUUAUCAUGAUGAUACUGUGGAAAGAAUCCUUGGGCAUCUAGAGCGAUAUCAUAUUUUGAUUUCAACAAACGAAAGGAUCCAAGAAGGUGGGUACCAAAAAGAAAUGAGCUCAUUGUACGUGCUUGUGCAAAAUAAGCUUGAUUGCAAAUCUAUGCAAAUCUUUAAACUAUUUGAAAAUGAUCUCGAUUGAGGAUUUCUGAACAUGAGAGAUAUAUUCUAAACAUACACCUUGGACAAAAGAAUCAAAUUUUUAUAUUUAUCACCACAAGCCAACGUACGAAAAAUCCUAUUAGUUAAAUGAGUAAUUGAUAUCAAAAUCGAUUAAAUGCACGUAAUUCCCACUAUUUCUCUCUCUCUCUCUCAAUUUUUUGGGAUAAGUACAUUGGAAAUAUUAAAAAUUAUCACAAAAGUGAAAUUAAGUUUUAAAAUUUCAAAAAAAUGCAUUUAACUCUUAGAACUCGUCACAAAAGUGCAAUUCAAUCAUAAAAUUUAUCAAUUUUGUGCAAUCAUAUCUUAAAACUCACUUGUUAAAUUAUGUGAGAAUUAAUGGAAUGACUUAAUUACACAAACUUGAUACGUUUUAUUAAUAAAUUAUAUUUUAAAAAAAAUUAAGGUUUAAUUAUGUUUUCAUGAUAAAUUUUAAAAAUUUCAUUAAGUUUAUCAUUAAUUUUUGUUUUUCCAUUUUUGGCCUCCACCGACAAGGACAGACACUAUCCUCUCUUAUUUCUUUCUGUCGUCAUCUCUCCCUCUCUCUCUUUCAACUUGCGGGUCCGAGUCUGCCUCUCCUUAUUUGGCUCCUUUCCAACCCUCUCUUGUCAUCUCUCUCUCUCUGUCUCUCUCCCCUCUCAAUUAUUACAUUUCUUUGUCUUCUCUCUCUCCCUCUUCUCCCCUCUCAAUUAUUACAAAUCCACGAGACAAGUUGCUCAUGGUAUCAGCUUUUGUACAUUCUUAAUAUUCUUAUCCCCUCAAAAAGAAUAUCCCCUCUGAUGAUAUCAACUUUGCUCAUUCCUCUAGUAAAUAACACCACACAAGCCCUUUGGGUAAUUCCCCACCAAAUCUUAGGGCAAGAAGUACAUCAUCAGAUAUAAUUCUGCCUUCAGCAAACGCAGCAUUGCUUAUAAAAUUAGGUAAAAAAAACUGUUUCGAUCUAUUGGCUAAGACCUAGGGAUACACGGGACGGAAGUCUUACGUAUGGGAUACCGGAGACGAGUAUAUAUCGCCACUUACCUUCAAAGUACAUCAAAAAGGUUCGGCACCAUUAUGAUACAAUCGUAAAAUGACUAGUAUUUUAUUCGAAAUAUCUACCUUUUCUCAAAGAGCCGUGUAUGGAAAUAUUCCGAGAAACUUGGUCCAAUUAAUCAAACGAAAUAUGGAAGAUAAACCACGGAGACACAAAGUAGUUGAUCAACACGCACCCUCUUCAAUCUCGCCAUCCAUCAUCUUCAUCAGCCAAGUUGGACUCUAGUAGAUUAGCUUGAUCCGUCAUCUUAUAAAAUACUAAAGUUGCGUUCGUUUCACGAAAAAAUGAAUACUCUGAAAAGUAUAUUUCAAAAAAUGAUUACUUCUAUUACUUUCAAAAAUUAAUGAAUGAAGAAAAUUUUCAUCUUCCACAAAAGUAUUUAGAUAUAAAUUAUUGAAUUGACUAAUUAUUUUGAGAGAUAUAAAUGAUCAUUUUUAGAAAAAUGUUUUCCAGAUUAUUCAUUUUCCUUUGAACAAAUAAAGCCUAGAUAGGAUCACUAGAAAUUGCAUAUCCCUAAUUCUUAUUUCCUCUUGAUCACAUCUUAAUUCUUGUCCGAGAGACCGAAUCAUAUCAUCAACGUAUUCACAAUUCGAUGGUAAUCGAUUGCUGAGGUUCCAUUUGUUUUGCAUAAAAUUGAUGUUUUGGAAAACAUUUUUUCGAAAAAUAAUCAUUUGUAUCGUUUACAUGAAUAAAUGAAUAAAAAAUUAUUAUUAUCAUCCUUGAAAAUAUUUAGAUGAUUGUCGAUCAUGAGAAUAUUUUUUAUUAAUUAAUUAUUAUAAAUGAUAUAAAUAAUUACUUUAGUCUUGUUUUUUUGUCAUAGAAUAAUUAGAGCGUUAACCAAGAUAAGCAGGACUCUCUCCACAGUGAGAAUCAAAAGGUACGCAUUACACGACAAGUGAAAAUUUUAAAAAUCGUUUGUGUCGUUGUCCCCAUAGAAAAUAACCAUGGCCCCUCGAGUAGAACACCAAAAGGUCAUUGGGCACGCAGCCUAAUGAUACAAUUUAAAAAUCGUUUGUGUCGUUGUCCCUCAUCGAAAAUAAUCAUGUCCCCGUCAAAAAUUUUCAUCUUCUACUAAUAUAUUUAGAUAUAAAUUAUUGAAUUGGCUAAUUAUUUUAAGGGAUAUAGACGAUCAUUUUAAAAAAUAUAUUUUUAAAAUCAUCCAUUUUUUGUGGAACAAAUGAAGCCUAGAAAGGAUCACUAGAACUUGCAUAUCCCUAAUUCUUAUUUUCUCUUGAUCAUAUCUUAAUUCCUAUCUCGGAGACCGAAUCAUAUUCCAUUUGUUUAGCAUAAAAUGGAUGAUUCUGGUCAUUGAUUUUGCUUGUAGGAAUAAAUAAAUAAAAAUUAUUAUAAUCAUCCUCGAAAAUAUUUAUUAUCUAAAUAAUAAGAAUAUCUUUGAUUAAUUAAUCAUUUUAAGUCGUGAUAUAAAUGAUUAUUUUUAAAAAUACAUUAAAAAUAUUUAUUUUUUACGAAAUAAAUAGAGCGUCGUGCAAAAUGCACGCGAUAAGUUACAAUUUAAAAAUCGAUUGUGUCGUUGUCCCCGUCGAAAAUAAGCAUGGCCCCUCGAGCAGAACACCAGAAAAGUCACGGGGCACGCGGCCCAAUGGUAAGGGGAAUCGGGGAUGGGACGCCGGUGCGGCGCACUUCCGAGGUGGGACCCGGAAGAACAGUGGUGUGGCUAAGAUCGGGUCCGGGCCCGCCUGAGCUGGCUCCGAUAUUUUCGCUUCCCAAGCACCCCCCACACAUCCACACAUCCGUCCACCCACUUAUACGGGGCGCGGAUCGGGACAAGAGAUCUGGCCCUCACGUGGCGGGGCCCUACAAAGACAAUUCUUCACGUGCUCUGCUUUUUGCGGUGGUUGGGAGAUGGGAGGAGUCGCGAGCGGGGCCCGCGCUGGAUUUCCCCCGAUUACAAGGGAUAAGGAAUAAUACGGUGGGCCCCACACGCACGGCAUCACUUGAAUUAUCAACUUCGCUAAUCAAAUCUUUUUCUUUUUUAAAUCCGGUCUCGCCUUACGUGUGCGGGGCCGCGGUGGUUGCGUCGCCAAUCCGUAGUCUUUGGUCGUAGCACGUGUCGUCGUUUUGCUCCCCACUUUGGUUCGGCCGUCGCUAUUAUUUUUCCUUCCUUUUUCUUUGGGGGGGUUGUUUUCCUGUUCUGACGCCGUCUCCGACGGCGGCUUUCCCCGUUAGUCGCAUGAUUGCACUCGCCGCUUCCUCCCAGCAACUUCUUCGGAUUUAUUGUUAUAUCUUGCUCCACUAAAUAAAUCUUGCAAUUCGUACGACCUUUUAUAUUUUACAUGAAUUUAUAUUAAAUUAGUAUAAUCUAAAACAAAUUUACCCUCCAUUUAUUUUCAUUAAAUUUUAUUAUCAACAAACAUGACAGUUGAUAGAUUAUUGAUUUUAAAUUUUACCUCCAUAUUUAUCAUGGAUAUAUUAAUUUUAUGGAUUUUGUGAUAUCAAUUUAAUUUAAAGAAAUAUAUAUUUAUUAUAAAUAUAUCAAUUUUGGACUUUUCACGAUAUUAAUUCUUUUUAAAAUCUUGAAAAACUAGAAUUUUCACAAAACUUAGAUAUUAACACUUAUUUUCAUUUUUUUAUAAAAGGUUUUGAAGCUUUCGUGAGAGAAUCUUUCGUGAUUUUUCCCCCUUUUUCACAAUGUUACAGACGGAGCAUAAUUCCGUUGAAAAAGCUGGACCACGAUGUUUUGUCCCUUCCAAUCCACUGAGCCAGAGUUUAAUAAGAAAAGAUAUGGCAGUAUGAUUAUUAAAUUUGGCCACGUGAAGCGAAAAACAGAAGCGUUAGUUCUAUCUUCUCCACUCUUCUUGUAGUCCAACUUGCUCAGGAUCUCCAAGAAGAUGGAGAAAGUAGAGCUGGACGCCUUAUCUUCUACUCCGUGGGGUCAAAUUUAACAAUCACAUUGCCAUCUUUCUUCGUUGUAAAUUUUGGCUCAAUGUCUAGGUGCAGCUUUUCCAAAGAAGUCAUUUGGAACAACUAUAAGAGAAAAAGAAACAUAAUGCCUUUUUACAAAAUCUUAGGGCUGAGUGAUUUCGAGUUCCAUCCACAGUUCACCCGGAACCUAUCCAUCUAAACAAGUUUUCUAAUUUUUGAAACCUGAAACCUAACCUAUCACAAGUUUCAUAAGGUUUCACUUAUACUCUUAAUUUAAUGAUUAUAAUUAAACAUCUCUAAUGACUACUAUUCUCUACAAUAAGUCUCAGUCAUGAAUAACAUUGGAAAUGAAAACCCAAACUCAUAGUUUCAGAUUAUACAUUCAUUUAUUAAUGCCUUUCAGGUUCUUCGGAACUUACCCAAUUUAGAACCUAUUUUACAUAUCGUAAAAUUUAAAAGUUCUUAAGCUUCCAAUUCUACUCUGAAAUCAUAUUCACCAGCGUUACAAAAUGGUGCAAAAGAGACUAAAAUGCAAAUUAAAAAAAUUAAAAAAUUCAAAGCAAAGGUUUUCAUUUAUGACAAGGUGCAUUUUGUUAAUAUCAUACUGGGUAAGAAAGCUUUUAUUGAAGGUUUAUUUAAUUUUAUUUUUUGUCAAACAAUUGAAGCUUAAUAGCUAUGGAAAAAUUGUAGAAGCACUCCAUCGUAUUUCCAGGUAUAAUUAUCCAAAACAUGUCAUCUCGAACAUCAUUCUAAACGUUGACGUGUUAUCAUACUCCAUCAAUUUCAGCGUAAUUCAUGAUAAGAAAAGGACAAAUGCAGUUUGUAUCGUUGUGUAGUUUCAUGGUUUGUUAAAUUCAAGAGGUGUAUCGACAAGUGGGGAUAAAAUACAACAAACCUCCGAAAAAUUUCAAGCGGACGUCUCCAUCCGAAGGCUUGGAAAGAGUCCGACUAGCUCGAGUGGAGCAACGUCUCCAUCCAACUAAUCGAAGUCGCUAUCGAAGCAAGUUGUUCAAACGAAUUAUUCAAGAUAACGAUAAAGAGAGAGAGAUAUCAUAGUGAAGCGGAGGUAAAUUGAUGUUUUGAAAAGUCUCAUCAUCAUAGUAAUCAGGACGGAUUGAUUUCCGCCAAUCACGGCAUCCAUUCGUAAUUAGUAGUCAUAGAUCGGGAUAUAUUUGUUACGACAUUGUUAAUAGUCGUAGCUCGGAAAAUAUUAGUCAUGAUAAUGAAGAUAACGAUGGAGAGAGAUCUAAAUUAUAAUAUCUUCUCAAGCUUAGAAAAAAAGAAGUUUUUUAGAGAAAAUGUUGCUCUUUGCAUAAAAGGCAUCUAAAUAAGCAUUUUGUAAGAUGGGUCGAAAAUUAUCAAAUCAAAUUGACCUAAUCUAAUCCAUUUCCAUCUAUUCUCAUAUAAUAUGUAAUUAACAACUCAUACUCAAACUAAACCAUAUUGUUAAAGCACUUUCAUAUUUAAACUAAUUUAGAAAAAAUCCUUCCCAAACUGAGUGAAGAAGCGUGAGAUCUAAUGAAAAAAGAGCUAGCAAUAAGUGAGAAUUAAAUAAAUUAUGAACCCAUUUAAUACUCACAUUAUUUUGAAUUUUAUUAUUCUGAAUUUAUUUAUUAAAUAUAUUUAUUUCAUAUAAUAACUUAAAACUUCAGUAAAAAUCUAACUUUUUACGGAAUUAGAUAGAGAGUACAAGACGUCAAAUGGAGGCUUGAAAAGUCAUGAGACGAUGGUGAACUGGACGUACCGGCACCUGCCAACAGAAAUAAUAUAUAUAACUCGGAAACGGAGAGGCGAAGCAGUAGACGGGCACACUCCCACUUCUGUCUCGCCACCAUUACUAGCUUCAAAGCCCAGAUCUCAGUUUCGUGCUCUCUUCGUCAUCUCUGCCUCUUGCCAUGGAUCCGUACAAGGUACCGAUCGCUUCAUCUUCUCCGCUUCGACUGUCGAUCUUUCUUCCAUCUUCGCCAGCGGCAGAAAUUAUCUUUCCCUUUUUCGAUCUCCGAUCCGUUGAUCAUAUACUGUAUUUACGUUAAUGGAACCGAGAUCUCCCCAGUGCUUGUUUGUUUUCGCUUCAUUUCCUGUUUGGUAGAAGAAGAGCGCUCCCUGUUGGGACGUUCAUGAUGCUACGGCUCUGUUUCGUCGAUUUAUCUCAUCGCCGGCAUGCCGACUUUGCAAAAUGCUGAUGUGUUUUUGCUGCUAAACGUGGAUGUCGCAGUAUCGCCCGUCCAGCGCUUACGAUUCCAGCUUUUGGACAACCAACUACGGUGCUCCCGUCUGGAACAAUGACUCAUCGCUGACUGUUGGAACUAGAGGUAGUAUCGCCAUUACGGAUCUCUGAGUUGUUUUCUUUAUCGAAAAUAAUGAUAAUUCGAUGCUCAUCGUGCAUGCGUAGAUAGUGCUUGCACUCGAACCGGAAUAUUUUUACGUUGCCUUUCUGUUUUGCUUCAUGCGUGUGAUUAAUACGUGGUUUGUGGUUUUUUAUUCUUGAUAUAAUCAUUUGAGCACGUUCUUAUAAAAAAAAACGUGCACGAGGCUCUCGACUGCAUCAAUGGGUUCUUUUUAUUUUUGUGUUUUGGUGAGUUCGAGGUGUGUACACGCCUUCAACGAAUCUAAACUUUUAGGUUUUGUAACAGUUUAAGGGAAAAAGCCACCAAGAAGGGAAAACUAUGCCCACUAAGACAUAUUUAUUCACAAAAUAUUUUCUUGUGACACCAAAAAUCCAAAAUGUAAACAUGUAUGACAUAUUUACUUACACGGACUGUUAAAACUCUGACUACAUAGACUUCAAAAAGCAAACGGAGUCACCUAACUUAAGUGAAAUUAACUAAAACAUCAUAUGAUAGAACUUUGAUGGAAAGUAAAUGUAUCAUAUAUACACAAGUUCGAUAUUUUUAUGUCACAAGAAAAAGAUUAGAUAAAUAUAUAUAGUUUGAGAUUUUUCAUAUCACAAAAAAAAACUCGGGCUUAAUAUGUUGCAAUGGACAUAAAGGUUUUUAUAGUUUUUUUUCUCGAUAUUAAAGUAUAACUCUACAAUUUUUCACUUUUUGUGUUCUUCAGCAACUUGUGACAGGAAGGAAAAAUAUCGUAGUUCUCUUUUUUUGAUAAUCUAGAGGCAGGCACGAUUGUGGAAACUCGACCCCUAGGCCUUUUUGGGCCGUGAGGGGACCCUGACCCACAGCAGAAGAACCUUGUAGUGAUAUUAGCUGGUCGCAGGAGUAUCCUUUUUGGCUCUACUUGUGCUCUACGCGGACAUCGUAGUGAAGACACGGAGCUUAACCGUCAUCUAAAAGGAGAUUUCUUUCAUUUUACAGGUCCGAUUCUCCUGGAGGACUACCAUCUGAUUGAGAAACUUGCCAACUUCGAGAGAGAGAGGAUUCCUGAGCGAGUGGUCCAUGCACGGGGAGCCAGCGCGAAAGGGUUCUUCGAGGUCACCCACGACAUCUCUCACUUGACCUGUGCUGAUUUCCUCCGGGCUCCUGGAGUCCAGACGCCCGUCAUCGUCCGUUUCUCCACCGUCAUCCACGAGCGCGGCAGCCCCGAAACCCUCAGGGACCCUCGUGGUUUUGCAGUGAAGUUCUACACCAGAGAGGUAACGAGAUGAUCACAAGCCUUGAAAUCUGCAAAUUCCAUGUUCUUCGGCUUUUUUAUUAUUAUGAUUGCUUGGAACGUGUAUCUGUUUAACUGACUAUGCAGGCACUGUGCUUGGCUUUUGUGAUUCGGGCAGCGUCUUUGUGCGCGUAUGCUCUAAAGCCCGUGCCGAAUAGCCACGUGAUGAUGGAUUUUAUUUUGACACUUUGACAUGACUAGUUGACGAUAACCUUACCGGAGGGCUGUAAAACAAAGAGCUUAUUUUAAGGAAUAAUGUAACCUAGAUCGCUUACUUGAGUACCAUAAAUUUUUUUCUAAUCACCUAAAUAUCAUAAUUUUUAUAAAUAAAAAAAUAGUAUAUUAUGACUUUUUUUAUCACUUAAAGGCCAUUAUUUCUAUUAAACAAAAUGUUUAUUAUAGCAUCAUAAAUUUCAAUCAAUUACUUAAGUGCUAAAAUAUUUUUAAAACAUGUACUUAGAUGCCAAAGAUCUAACGUGGCAUUGCACUUAAGAUGAAUGUUUUAAAAAAUAUAAUGUCACUUAAGUGAUCGAAAAAAAAAAGUUAUAUCACUUAACUAGGCAUCAUAUGUAAAUAAUAGUAUUUAAGUGAUAAAAAAAAUUAUGAUUUUUAAGUAAACGCCACACAAAAUCACGGUACUUAUAAUGUUCUUCUUUUAUUUAAAAUAAAAGAGAAAGCUGAACAUCAUAAUACAAACAAGUAGUCUCUCCACAUAAUUGUAUUGUCUCACGUUUCUCUUCUUUUCUUUGAUAAUUUUUAUUUCGACACUUCGAUGUGACUAGUUGAAGAUGAAUUUUUAUCGAAGGGCUGUAAUAGAGAGGUCCAUUUCAAGUAAGAGAGAAGUCGAGACAUCAAAACAUGAGUAGUAUCUCUUCACGUAAUUGCGCUGUUUCGCGCUUCUCUUCUUUCCUCCUUUCACCAUUCGUUUUUUUUCUUCUGAACGCAGGGAAACUUUGAUCUGGUGGGGAACAAUUUCCCAGUCUUCUUCGUUCGCGAUGCAAUGAAAUUCCCGGACGCGAUCCAUGCGUUCAAGCCGAACCCGAAGUCUAACAUCCAGGAGAUGUGGAGAAUCAUCGAUUUCUUCUCCCACCAGCCCGAGAGUCUGUCCACGUUCGCGUGGUUCUUCGAUGAUGUGGGCAUUCCUCAGGACUACAGGCACAUGGAGGGAUUCGGUGUGCACGCUUUCACCUUCAUCAACAAGACCGGAAAGACGAAUUACGUGAAAUUCCACUGGAAGCCAACUUGCGGGGUGAAGUGCUUGCUGGAGGAGGAGGCGAUCCGCAUUGGAGGAUCGAACCACAGCCAUGCGACCAAGGAUCUUUAUGACUCGAUCGCUGCUGGCAACUACCCGGAGUGGAAGCUCUACAUCCAAGUGAUGGAUCCUGCUCUUGAAGACAGCUUCGACUUCGAUCCGCUGGAUAUGACGAAGGAAUGGCCUGAGGACAUCUUGCCUCUGCAACCAGUAGGCCGCUUGGUGCUGAACAAAAACGUCGAUAACUUCUUCGCUGAGAAUGAGCAGCUAGCGUUUAACCCAGCAUUUGUGGUCCCUGGCAUCUAUUACUCCAAUGAUAAGCUUCUCCAAGCUAGGAUUUUCGCCUAUUCUGAUACUCACCGAUAUCGCCUUGGACCAAACUACCUUCAACUCCCCGUUAAUGCUCCCAAGUGCGCUCAUCACAACAACCACCAUGAUGGUUUCAUGAAUAUCAUGCACAGGGAUGAAGAGGUAAUGAUCUUUAUUUUUCUGUUUGCUCGAUAACGGCGCUGAGAAUGAACGUGCCUCUAGCAUUACCUAAUAACAUGUUUUUAGCGGCUUGUACAGAGAUCUGAAUUGGUUAUAGUAGUCUAUUGAUGCAACGCUCGACUUGAAUCAGUUUGUUUUUUGAUAAAAAAGGAAGAACUAACGAUGUCAUUUAUCCAUGAUGCUGAUUUGCA